Marmota flaviventris (yellow-bellied marmot) is the source of this 489-nucleotide long non-coding RNA. RefSeq lists it as uncharacterized. The record is from RefSeq and is a predicted model, not a curated record. Lineage: Eukaryota; Metazoa; Chordata; Mammalia; Rodentia; Sciuridae.
CCCGACCACCAAGACUCACCCUUUACUCAGUGGGAAAUGAGGUCGGCGGAGCAGGGUGCGAGCAGAGGCAGGGCUGACAUGAUCUGCUGACCGUUUGAGAGGAGCAAAGAGUGACAGCUUAGGAUGUGGCCCUGCAAGAACAGUAUUGCUGUUAACUGGGGGACAUGGAGGAGUAACUGGCUUGGGGAGAAUACUGGGAGCUCGGUGCUGGACAUGGUCUCCUAAGAGUCCCGCGUCCGUGGAGCGUGGUCCACUAAGGGGAUGAGGGCACUGGCUUUGAGAUGAUUUAAUAGAUGCAGCUUCCCGCAGAGCAGCCCCUGCCACCGACUGGAGCACUGUCCCCGCUGCCUGUUCCCUUAUCAGUCCUGUGGUUUCCUGCCCGGCUGCAGCUUCACUUCAUGAUCAAGCGCCCUCGACCCUCCUUCCUGUGGCUUCAGCCCCUGCUGGAGCCAGGGUGAUGAAGGCUGCUGGCAGGCCCUGCCCUUCCCC